ACUCCUUGACAUCUUGCGGAGAAGGCAAGUGUUUCCCGGACCGUCAUUUCGCCGACGUGAACAUCGUGCUGCCCGAUGUACGCCGAUGUCCUCUGAGGGACAAAUUCAUCCAUGUCAUGACCAUUAAUUCAGAAGUUCACAAUCAAGAAAUUAUCGCAAGAUGUGAUACCUUCAGAUUGGAGUCAAGUUUCCCUGACAAAGCCAGAAGUAGACUUGUUUUCCCGGAUCCAGGAGGGCCAAGCAGCAAGGACAUUCUGAAAGAAGUGCCAGUUAGAUGGAGACAGGCCUCUUCCCGCUAGAGACGAUGUGCAUAGCACUUAGUACAUCCUAUGAUGGUAGCAGCUCACAAGAGUUAGUAGCCGAAGGAAUUUCUUCUCCGUGGCUGCCUAAGAAGCAUGGAGGUGCCCGCUGCUGCAGAGGAGAUGCACAUGCAUACCAUGACUUUGUUGGAGAAGAAGUUGGUCAUCGUGGGGACACCUCGGUUGCCGACGUAGGCCUCGGCGUCGAUGUUCAGGUUCUCAAAACGCACCUCUAUCGUCGGAUUAUCGAUCCCAACCCUGCAG
Molecule: long non-coding RNA, 563 nt
Organism: Zea mays
Lineage: Eukaryota; Viridiplantae; Streptophyta; Magnoliopsida; Poales; Poaceae
Exons: 3
Source: RefSeq, a predicted model, not a curated record